Molecule: ribosomal RNA, 1477 nt
Filed under: metagenome
Description: bacterial SSU rRNA
Rfam family: Bacterial small subunit ribosomal RNA
Source: RNAcentral
GAGUUUGACCCUGGCUCAGGACGAACGCUGGCGGCGUGCUUAACACAUGCAAGUCGAGCGAGGCUCUCCCUUCGGGGGGAUGCCCUAGCGGCGAACGGGUGAGUAACACGUGGGCAACCUGCCCCUAGCACUGGGAUAAGCCCGAGAAAUCGGGUCUAAUACCGGAUAUGACCUCCGAGGGCAUCCUUGGGGGUGUAAAGGAUUCUGGCUAGGGAUGGGCUCGCGGCCUAUCAGCUUGUUGGUGAGGUAACGGCCCACCAAGGCGACGACGGGUAGCCGGCCUGAGAGGGCGACCAGCCACACUGGGACUGAGACACGGCCCAGACUCCUACGGGAGGCAGCAGUGGGGAAUAUUGCACAAUGGGCGAAAGCCUGAUGCAGCGACGCCGCGUGAGUGAUGACGGCCUUCGGGUUGUAAACCUCUUUCAGCAGGGACGAAGCGAAAGUGACGGUACCUGCAGAAGAAGCACCGGCCAACUACGUGCCAGCAGCCGCGGUAAUACGUAGGGUGCAAGCGUUGUCCGGAAUUAUUGGGCGUAAAGAGCUCGUAGGCGGCUAAUCGCGUCGGCUGUGAAAACCUGGGGCUCAACCCCGGGCCUGCAGCCGAUACGGGUUAGCUAGAAUUCGGUAGGGGAGACUGGAAUUCCUGGUGUAGCGGUGAAAUGCGCAGAUAUCAGGAGGAACACCGGUGGCGAAGGCGGGUCUCUGGGCCGAUAUUGACGCUGAGGAGCGAAAGCGUGGGGAGCAAACAGGAUUAGAUACCCUGGUAGUCCACGCCGUAAACGUUGGGAACUAGGUGUGGGCCACAUUCCACGUGGUCUGUGCCGCAGCUAACGCAUUAAGUUCCCCGCCUGGGGAGUACGGCCGCAAGGCUAAAACUCAAAGGAAUUGACGGGGGCCCGCACAAGCGGCGGAGCAUGUGGCUUAAUUCGAUGCAACGCGAAGAACCUUACCUGGGCUUGACAUGCAGGGAAAUCUCGUAGAGAUACGGGGUCCGUAAGGGCCUUGCACAGGUGGUGCAUGGCUGUCGUCAGCUUGUGUCGUGAGAUGUUGGGUUAAGUCCCGCAACGAGCGCAACCCUCGUUCUAUGUUGCCAGCGAGUAAUGUCGGGGACUCAUAGGAGACUGCCGGGGUCAACUCGGAGGAAGGUGGGGAUGACGUCAAGUCAUCAUGCCCCUUAUGUCCAGGGCUGCACACAUGCUACAAUGGCCGGUACAAAGAGCUGCGAUACCGCAAGGUGGAGCGAAUCUCAUAAAGCCGGUCUCAGUUCGGAUUGGGGUCUGCAACUCGACCCCAUGAAGUCGGAGUCGCUAGUAAUCGCAGAUCAGCAACGCUGCGGUGAAUACGUUCCCGGGCCUUGUACACACCGCCCGUCACGUCACGAAAGUCGGUAACACCCGAAGCCAGUGGCCCAACUCGCAAGAGAGGGAGCUGUCGAAGGUGGGAUCGGCGAUUGGGACGAAGUCGUAACAAGGUA